Molecule: ribosomal RNA, 456 nt
Filed under: Staphylococcus arlettae
Lineage: Bacteria; Bacillati; Bacillota; Bacilli; Caryophanales; Staphylococcaceae
Description: bacterial SSU rRNA
Rfam family: Bacterial small subunit ribosomal RNA
Source: RNAcentral
GCUGGCGGCGUGCCUAAUACAUGCAAGUCGAGCGAACAGAUAAGGAGCUUGCUCCUUUGACGUUAGCGGCGGACGGGUGAGUAACACGUGGGUAACCUACCUAUAAGACUGGAAUAACUCCGGGAAACCGGGGCUAAUGCCGGAUAACAUUUAGAACCGCAUGGUUCUAAAGUGAAAGAUGGUUUUGCUAUCACUUAUAGAUGGACCCGCGCCGUAUUAGCUAGUUGGUAAGGUAAUGGCUUACCAAGGCAACGAUACGUAGCCGACCUGAGAGGGUGAUCGGCCACACUGGAACUGAGACACGGUCCAGACUCCUACGGGAGGCAGCAGUAGGGAAUCUUCCGCAAUGGGCGAAAGCCUGACGGAGCAACGCCGCGUGAGUGAUGAAGGGUUUCGGCUCGUAAAACUCUGUUAUUAGGGAAGAACAAACGUGUAAGUAACUGUGCACGUCUGACG